GUACGCAGUUGCGUUCAAAGUUUGUUUACUGGGCGUUGCGAACGUUUCGAUUAAGUUAUGAGAAAACUGAUCUGAUCUGAUCAAGUUUCAACCGCAAUUCUAAAAGUGUCAAUCAUUAUUACAGUAACGCCAUCUAUUUGUUUCACUUGUUUUAUUUUUUCACCAGUUCCCGGCUGCACCGUUUUUAUUCGCGGUUUUGACCUCGACUGCAAGAAUCAGAGCGGCGUGGCGCUGCGCCGCCCUGGUCCAGCUAAAAUAAGAACGACUUCUCGCCAUUUCCUAACGUGGCUACACCGGACCUGUCCUGGAGAGCAACCACGUCUCGCAGCAGCUGCUGUAGCAUAUCACGAGUGAAUCAAAAACCCUGGUCAGCUAUAGGUGACCAUUCAAGGCCGUCCCCUUUAUUAUUUCUGGGCUGGCUUCCAUUCCGACGGAGCGAGCGGUGGAGCGGGCGCGGUGGCCGAGUCCUUUUCCCACCACUUCAAUCACCACAACCCGUCGCUGUAGGCCGUCAAGGAGCUGAAGCGGCCUCGGGUGGCCGUCGAAGAAAACAAGUGCCUCCUACCUCCAACUACACGUGAUACGCCUACAGGUUGAGAGGGGCCCAGCAUUUGGUUUCCUGGCGAAGUGCCUAGUGACAGGAUUCCUGGUGUCGGGCGACGGGAGGGACCGGAUCGUCUGGAUUUCACGUUUGACUUUCAUCCGCCAGUUGACGGGGCACAACGCGCCGCUGGCGGCCAUCGUCAUCAACGACCUGACGGGCGACAUCGCCAGCCCCUGCUCCGGCACUUUGCUCCACCUCUGGUCCAUCAACAGUGACUCUCUGCUGGCCAGCGUACACACCCUUGGUCGGCCAGAUCGGCCGCUCGCAGCAGGCAGUUGACGAGUUCCCAACGAGGAAAGACCGGUACAAGUGACAACGGAAAAACUGGCCGAGGCUCCUAAACUCGUCAAGGAAUCGGAAGGAGAUUCCCUCGACGAAGCUGAGCUACUCUGCAGAGAGAGGCGCGGUCCGUCAGCAGUCUGCCCAUCAACUGCCAACACCAAGCAAGCAUGUGUAUGUGACAGCAGUAAACUAUUCCAGUUAUCUUUUCAAAAUCAAAUUCUUAAUACAUUUUUCUUACAAGUGGA
Long non-coding RNA from Daphnia pulex (common water flea), 1131 nucleotides. RefSeq lists it as uncharacterized. The record is from RefSeq and is a predicted model, not a curated record. Lineage: Eukaryota; Metazoa; Arthropoda; Branchiopoda; Diplostraca; Daphniidae. The transcript has 3 exons.